Molecule: ribosomal RNA, 1463 nt
Filed under: uncultured bacterium
Lineage: Bacteria
Description: bacterial SSU rRNA
Rfam family: Bacterial small subunit ribosomal RNA
Source: RNAcentral
AGUUUGAUCAUGGCUCAGGAUGAACGCUAGCGGCAUAGAUAAGGCAUGCAAGUCGAGCGGUGAACUCCGCCUCCGGGCGGAGGGAUCAGCGGCGGACGGGUGAGUAACACGUGAGUAACCUUCCCCCGACACCGGGAUAGCCCUGGGAAACCGGGGUUAAUACCGGAUACGCUUCCCGGCGCUUCUGCGGCGUGAAGUAAAGAUUGAGUUCGGUUGGGGAUGGGCUCGCGUCCCAUUAGCCAGUCGGUGAGGUAACGGCUCACCGAAGCGAAGAUGGGUAGCUGGCCUGAGAGGGUGGUCAGCCACACUGGGACUGAGACACGGCCCAGACUCCUGCGGGAGGCAGCAGUCGAGAAUAUUCGGCAAUGGGCGCAAGCCUGACCGAGUGAUGCCGCGUGGGUGAAGAAGGCCUUCGGGUCGUAAACCCCUGUCACCCGGGACGAAAUUUGACGGUACCGGGAGAGGAAGCCCCGGCUAACUACGUGCCAGCAGCCGCGGUAAUACGUAGGGGGCGAGCGUUAUCCGGAAUCACUGGGCGUAAAGGGUCCGCAGGGGGUCUGCCAAGUCUGAUGUGAAAUUCCGCGGCUCAACCCGCGGAAGUGCAUUGGAAACUGGCGGACUAGAGUGCACGAGAGGAAAGCGGAAUUCCCGGUGUAGCGGUGGAAUGCGUAGAUAUCGGGAAGAACACCAGCGGCGAAGGCGGCUUUCUGGCGUGCCACUGACCCUCAGGGACGAAAGCGUGGGUAGCGAACGGGAUUAGAUACCCCGGUAGUCCACGCCGUAAACGUUGUGCGCUCGAUAUGGGCGGCCAUCCAGUGCUGUCCGUGUCCAAGCUAACGCGUUAAGCGCACCGCCUGGGGACUACGGCCGCAAGGCUAAAACUCAAAGGAAUUGACGGGGGCCCGCACAACCGGUGGAGCAUGUGGCUUAAUUCGAGGCUACGCGAAGAACCUUACCCGGACUUGAAAUAUACGGGCUUUCGCGUGAAAGCGUGAUUUCCCUUCGGGGACCCGUAUACAGGUACUGCAUGGCUGUCGUCAGCUCGUGCCGUGAGGUGUUCGGUUAAGUCCGGCAACGAGCGCAACCCCUGCCGUCAGUUGCCAUCAGGUAAUGCUGGGGACUCUGACGGGACUGCCCGUGUUAAGCGGGAGGAAGGUGGGGACGACGUCAAGUCAGCAUGGUCCUUACGUUCGGGGCUGCACACGUGCUACAAUGACCGGCACAGAGGGUCGCGAAGCCGCGAGGCGGAGCGAAUCCCCAAAACCGGCCUCAGUUCGGAUUGGAGUCUGCAACUCGACUCCAUGAAGCUGGAAUCGGUAGUAAAGGCGUAUCAGCCACGUCGCCUUGAAUACGUGCCCGGGCCUUGUACACACCGCCCGUCACAUCAUGGGAGCCGGGUGCACCCGAAGUCCCCGCGCCAGCGGGGCCGAAGGUGUGUCCGGUAACUGGGAUGAAGUCGUAAC